UACGGCCAUCCCACCCUGAACGCACCUGAUCUCGUCUGAUCUCGGAAGCUAAGCAGGGUCGGGCCUGGUUAGUACUUGGAUGGGAGAUCAGAAGCCAGUUUGUACCAGUGU
This 111-nucleotide ribosomal RNA is filed under the name Ochotona princeps (American pika). The record is from RNAcentral. Lineage: Eukaryota; Metazoa; Chordata; Mammalia; Lagomorpha; Ochotonidae.